Molecule: ribosomal RNA, 230 nt
Filed under: uncultured bacterium
Lineage: Bacteria
Description: partial 16S ribosomal RNA
Rfam family: Bacterial small subunit ribosomal RNA
Source: RNAcentral
CGGCGGGUGAGUAAUGUCUGGGAAACUGCCCGAUGGAGGGGGAUAACUACUGGAAACGGUAGCUAAUACCGCAUAACGUCGCAAGACCAAAGAGGGGGACCUUGGGCCUCUUGCCAUCGGAUGUGCCCAGAUGGGAUUAGCUAGUAGGUGGGGUAACGGCUCACCUAGGCGACGAUCCCUAGCUGGUCUGAGAGGAUGACCAGCCACACUGGAACUGAGACACGGUCCAG